RNAcentral lists this ribosomal RNA (488 nucleotides) under uncultured Propionibacterium sp. Its description in RNAcentral is "partial 16S ribosomal RNA". The record is from RNAcentral. Lineage: Bacteria; Bacillati; Actinomycetota; Actinomycetes; Propionibacteriales; Propionibacteriaceae.
CACGUAGUUAGCCGGUGCUUCUUCUGCAGGUACCGUCACAAAAAAGCUUCGUCCCUGCUGAAAGCGGUUUACAACCCGAAGGCCGUCAUCCCGCACGCGGCGUUGCUGCAUCAGGCUUGCGCCCAUUGUGCAAUAUUCCCCACUGCUGCCUCCCGUAGGAGUCUGGGCCGUAUCUCAGUCCCAAUGUGGCCGGUCACCCUCUCAGGCCGGCUACCCGUCGCCGCCUUGGUAGGCCACUACCCCACCAACAAGCUGAUAGGCCGCGAGUCCAUCCACAACCGCCGGAGCUUUCCAACCCCCACCAUGCAGCAGGAGCACAUAUCCAGUAUUAGCACCAGUUUCCUAGCGUUAUCCCAAAGUUGUGGGCAGGUUACUCACGUGUUACUCACCGUUCGCCACUCGUCGUACCCCGAAAGGCCUUACCGUACGACUUGCAUGUGUUAAGCACGCCGCCAGCGUUCGUCCUGUACGCCGAGGAUACAAACUCU